This is a long non-coding RNA of Argiope bruennichi, 523 nucleotides long. RefSeq lists it as uncharacterized. NCBI's taxonomy places the organism in Eukaryota, Metazoa, Arthropoda, Arachnida, Araneae, Araneidae. The record is from RefSeq and is a predicted model, not a curated record. The transcript has 3 exons.
GACAAAUAGAAGAAGAAGAAAGCUGUUUCAAAUAUGAAAAUAAAUAUUAUUUGACCCAGUAAAGAAUUCAAGCUCUCGCUUAUUAUUUUGUUUCUGAAAAAGUGAAUCCAUUUAACUAAUUGGGUAAAGGAUUCUAGCCAAAUUGUCCGUCUGAUUGGUCCCGUCGGAACGAAGUGUUGCUCGGUUCAGUCAUAAUUUUCCAGUAUGCUUUAGCAGGAUGGUUUCAACAAAUUUUUUACGGAUAAAGUAGUUGAAAGAGGUAACCAUUAACUGGCUACUCUGCCCCCCUCCCGUAGACACACAGAUAAAUAGGAAUGACCAGAUCACCAUGACAGCAACACUGGCGAGUCCUAAGGGCCCUCACCGGUAAUGACCCAACCCUUCCCUAGGGAAGUGAGUCUCAUCAUCGAUGGGAAGUAGUCAACCUCCACCUCUAUUUGCAUCCACCAGAUCGCCGAGAACCAGCCUCCAUACUGGAAGCUUCUCAUUCUCAUUUUUGAGGUGCCUCCCAGUGGAAGAGUUG